CCACACAUCAGAAAUUUUAAAAUAUGUCAAACAACCAUUAUAACUUGAACCCCUUUGCUAGGUUACCAUUUCCGGGGUAUUCAAAUCACAUACAAAAUCAUUAUUUUGAAGAAUCCAAAGAGCAAAUGGAAUUCGUCCAAAACAACACUACAUUAGUCUAUUACAAUUGUUACAUUAUACUACAGCCCAAAUAAGCCUACUACUGCCUACAAUUACAAUACAUAAUAUGCUACUCUUUGUUGAUAUGCUUCACAGCUUCAGACUUGGAUUCACACUUCACCUAUGCAAAAAAUAAGAAUGAACAUAUAAGAAUAAGAAUGUGUUGAGAACAUCAAACAAUGGUCAAUGAGGGAUCCAAUAACUUAGAAGCAAGAAUUGAGAGCAAAUGAAAUGUACAAAAUAGUAUGACUAACAUUAAUUAGUAUGUGUUCAUGGAGCGGCUAAAAUUUUCUCAAACUAGCUAGGAUUUUUUUAUGUAUAGUAUACUCACAUGUGCAACUCUAAUUAAAUUGAUCAUGGAAAUGAAAAUAGAAACCAGGCGCUCAAGUUAUAUUCGGAAAAAAAUCUAACUAUUGUAAGACAAACAGAUUUGAAGUUGUAUAUUAACGUGUAACAUUUCAAGUUUGCUUAUAACUAAAUGAAGACAUGUCUUGCUAGAGAAUGUGGUUCAAAUGGGGUAAAAGCUACGCGGACAUGGAUUUCAAAAUAUAGUGUGUGUAAUUACAAUCGGAACAAUAAAUCAAAAAAUUGAACACAGAUAUGCAUGGGGUGAAAUAUAUGCACAAGAAGGACAAGAAAAGUACAGUUUAUGUAAAUCAGAAAUCACUUAAUAGAUAUUUAAUCUUGAUUCUAGAACAAUUGGAUUAAAGCAUGCUGAAAAACUGAAGCAAAGAGUAAUAUAUAUCAUCAGGAAUUGUUCUUUCAGACCAAGGAAAAAUUAUGCAGGGGGAUGUUUGUGUAAAUUAUAAGUUGUCAAGUAGAUUAAGAUAUAGGGUGCAUUCAAGUGCAGUGGAGAUUCAGAGUCAUAUCAACAAUGUGACGGUAGAAGCAAAAGAAACCCGUUUUCGUCAUACGUGAGAUUGCAUGUACUGUAAUGGAACUCCACGCAUCUCUCUAGAAAAAACUUCGACGCCCACAAAUGCAUCCAUUUCACAAGUCAAACGCAAUAAAAUUAUACUCAUAUGGAACUUGGUUAGGCAUUC
This 1202-nucleotide long non-coding RNA is filed under the name Hordeum vulgare. RNAcentral describes it as "long non-coding RNA (HVUL_LNC006488)". The record is from RNAcentral. Lineage: Eukaryota; Viridiplantae; Streptophyta; Magnoliopsida; Poales; Poaceae.